GUGCCAGCAGCCGCGGUAAUACGUAGGGUGCGAGCGUUAAUCGGAAUUACUGGGCGUAAAGCGUGCGCAGGCGGUUUUGUAAGACAGAUGUGAAAUCCCCGGGCUUAACCUGGGAACUGCAUUUGUGACUGCAAGGCUAGAGUAUGGCAGAGGGGGGUAGAAUUCCACGUGUAGCAGUGAAAUGCGUAGAGAUGUGGAGGAAUACCGAUGGCGAAGGCAGCCCCCUGGGCCAAUACUGACGCUCAUGCACGAAAGCGUGGGGAGCAAACAGGAUUAGAUACCCUGGUAGUCC
This 292-nucleotide ribosomal RNA is filed under the name uncultured microorganism. Its description in RNAcentral is "partial 16S ribosomal RNA". It matches the Rfam family "Bacterial small subunit ribosomal RNA", at positions 505 to 796 of the family's 1533-position model. The record is from RNAcentral.